RNAcentral lists this long non-coding RNA (3048 nucleotides) under Triticum aestivum (bread wheat). RNAcentral's name for it is "long non-coding RNA (TAES_LNC024952)". Lineage: Eukaryota; Viridiplantae; Streptophyta; Magnoliopsida; Poales; Poaceae. The record is from RNAcentral.
UCCACCAUCUCCUCGCGUAUAUGCAACUUCAGCAAAGAAUAGGUUGCCAGUGUCAACACCAUAAGAUCCUUUGGUCUUUGCAGUGAAAUUCAUAUGAAAGUACGUCCAAUGGAUAUAAUAAUCCUCCCAGAGCGGCUUGCCAUGCAGAAAAUCUUUGACCUCAUAUGCAAGAUCCUAAAAUAAGAGGUGAUCUGAUCAGUGGUUGCAAUUUGUUACAUGAAUAGGUGAGGCAAUAAGAGUAUAAGACGCAAUACAGCCGUGCUAGCAGGACAGAGGGAGGCUGGAGGGAGGAACAAGUGCCAACCCCAAAAAGAUUAUGAGGGUCGUUAUACAUGUCCACCAAAGCUCGAGCCAACUGGUAAUCCUCAUCACGCCUUUUAUCUUUGACUUUUGAUCCACGCUUCUUUGUGCCAUCAGGAUAGUAACGAACACGUUUUACAAUCGCAUCCACUUGAGAAAGCCCCGCACACCUAGUUCAGAUUUAGAGCAUUUCUAUAUGAUUAGCUGAUUGUGCCUACUCAAAAGUGGAUGAAUACAUACAGAUUGAUAAAGGUAAUCAGAACAACACAAAUUAUAGAAAAAAGACAGGGCUGGCUAAUUAAAUGAAAGGAUUUCAAACCAAAAUCUUUGCUAAGCUGUUGAAUACAAAAAACAGAAGAGAACAGAACUGUUCCCAUGUCUGUGAGUUGGGGACCUGAUUUUUUUUAAGAAAUUUAAAAAAAAAACGAAUAGUACUACUAAUCAGCGUCAAGUAUUUCCGAACGCUGAUUUAAUACAUAUGUUAUCAAUGGUGCUAUCCACAUUGACAGAAUCACAGAACGUUAAAGACUGUCUGUCGAGUACCUCCCAUGGAUACCUCCGGUGGGGCUAUGGCCGCUCUUCAUGUGUUCCCCACGCCCAUUGACGGAAAUAAUCUCACCCCCAACGGCGAUGGGAACGUCAAAGUGCACCACCUUGGAGUAGCCCGGACGGAGGCGCUCGGAUGGCCUGGGAACGAUUAGGGUUUGGAGUAAAGCAAAAGGAACGGUUCUGUGCUACUAGUAUUUGUAUGCAUGUCGAUCCGACUCGCAAGUCCGUUUGGGGAGCGGUCCGGACUCUUAUCGUUCAAUCCAACGGAGUGGAGAAAAAACAUGAUGGGCUGGCUGCUGGAACGGCCGGCCCAUUAAUAGAUACAUUUUUUCCCUUUUCAAUAGAUUCAAAAUUAGACUACUAAAAAAUAUUAUAUUUUAAAAGAUAGACUAUACUUUCACAAAUAUUAUAUCGUGGGAAACCACUUUUGAGUACAAAUUUAGUGGUACACUUUUUGUAGCAUAUACCUCAUAUUUUGCUAUCAUAUAGAUGGUCAAAGUUUGACCCAAAUACGAAUGAGCAAGUAAUAACGUCAACUUAAUCUACGGCCGGGGCUAAAAGUUUCUUCGCAAAAUCAUUAAAAAUUGGUUGACUCAGCCAAAAUUUAUGCAGUUUUGCUAAUCCCCAGGUAACUAAAAUAGGAGUCACGCCAGUCGACUCUGUAUGAGAAAGGAGCAAAGCCCCGGUCCCGAGACUGAGCGCCAGCAAGGUGCGGAGACACCAAAUAGGAAGUGAGCUGGAGGAGGUGAGUUAGAGGGUUUGACAGCUAGGGUUCCUCUGCUACAUGCCGGCGCCGCCGCCGGUCCGUCUCGUGUAUGGUGAGUUAGAGGGUUUGACAGGUGCAGGCGGGUGGGGGACUUUCAUUUUGACUAGUUGUUUGGGCAUCUGCAACCACAAUAGGUAAAUUUGACACCUCAAACGUCUUGGGUCAGUGUCUGGACAUGUCCUUCUGAAGACUCCAUUUGUGCAUGCAUGCAACCACGCCCCAUACUUUGUUCUUCAAUUGUCCACUCAAAUAGAUGUGAUUGGUGGAGAUGGUGAGGGAGAUAAAAGAAAGAAUAAAGAAAGAUAAAAGGUGGUCCAAGGGGGAAAAAACCUACGUGGCGUCCUGCCCGGACACACCGGGAAAUCCCCAUAUCCUUCCCAUAUAUGUCUUGGAUAUGAGGAUUUGCGGAUAGCCCAGGCAUAUGAGUACAAAGUAGGGGUCUGGUUGGGUGGUUUUUUUUCCUUCUCUCUCCUCUCCGGGCAAUGAUCGGCCUGUCCGGCCAGACGUCUAGGGAGGAUAUGAGUGGUCCGGUUGUAGAUGCUCACUUUACCUUCAUAUUACCCCUUUUGAUAUCAUGCAAGUUAUGUGGAUUAAAAAAAUCCAUGGGCGUAUUUCAGUAUGCAAGUUUACCUUCUAUUAAUUUUUUUUUCUGCUAAAAAAAUUUAACCUUCUAUCAUUGUACUUUUUUCAGUUUGGUGUGCAUAAUUUCUUCGAACUGUAUCAUGCAGGUAUCAAACAUCUUCAAGUGACUCCACAUUCUCUUUGGUGUGGACAGAUAGGGAUACAAUGACUAUCGUGAUCCCAAAGAAUACCCCACACCCACUAGGGAAUAGCAAAUCCUCACCAGUUUCCAUGACAACCGGACUUUUGCCGAUAUAAGUCUUUACAAGGGUGAUGUGCAAGCUUACAACUUGUUUAGCUAGUUCACCUUAAUGACCAUAACCACUAUCCCCAAAAGUAAAAAAAUGAAAACUUUUGAUCUAUUCAUCAUCUACCAAGCCGGUACAAAGAACACCAUAAGUAAUAAAAAUUACAUUCGGGUUCGUAGACCACCCAAAGGAGGGGAUGGGAGGCAACCCGGAGGUGAACAGUGGAGGAGGAACGAUUCGAGAAGGAAGAAAUCUAGAGAAAGGUGGAAGAAUAACGAUCAUUGAAGCUAAUCCAAUGGUCCCAAAUGGACUUGACCAAAAUAAAAUAUAAGGCGAUUUACCUAUAGUCAGACCCAUACUAAAUAAUUAACCUUUUAGCAUGACCGUGAUCUUACUUUGGUUUUCAUUCGAUGUAUAAGAUUGGAUCAGAAUAGCCUUCUUAAUUAUAUUUUCAUGGUCUUUCAGUCUUCUAUUCGAGAAAAUACUUUGGUUGUUUUGGUUAUAUAAUAAUUGUAUGAAAUAAUUUAUUGAUCAAAUUACAAUAAAAAAAGUAGAGAAUGAUUC